Molecule: ribosomal RNA, 438 nt
Filed under: uncultured bacterium
Lineage: Bacteria
Description: bacterial SSU rRNA
Rfam family: Bacterial small subunit ribosomal RNA
Source: RNAcentral
UAGGGAAUUUUCGUCAAUGGGGGGAACCCUGAACGAGCAAUGCCGCGUGUGUGAAGAAGGUCUUCGGAUCGUAAAGCACUGUUGUAAGUGAAGAAUGCCACAUAGAGGAAAUGCUAUGUGGGUGACGGUAGCUUACCAGAAAGCCACGGCUAACUACGUGCCAGCAGCCGCGGUAAUACGUAGGUGGCAAGCGUUAUCCGGAAUCAUUGGGCGUAAAGGGUGCGUAGGUGGUACGAUAAGUCUGAAGUAAAAGGCAACAGCUCAACUGUUGUAUGCUUUGGAAACCGUCGAGCUAGAGUGCAGAAGAGGGCGAUGGAAUUCCAUGUGUAGCGGUAAAAUGCGUAGAUAUAUGGAGGAACACCAGUGGCGAAGGCGGUCGCCUGGUCUGUAACUGACACUGAUGCACGAAAGCGUGGGGAGCAAAUAGGAUUAGAUACC